RNAcentral lists this ribosomal RNA (255 nucleotides) under uncultured Lactobacillus sp. Its description in RNAcentral is "partial 16S ribosomal RNA". It matches the Rfam family "Bacterial small subunit ribosomal RNA", at positions 109 to 354 of the family's 1533-position model. Lineage: Bacteria; Bacillati; Bacillota; Bacilli; Lactobacillales; Lactobacillaceae. The record is from RNAcentral.
AGUAACGCGUGGGUAACCUGCCCUUAAGUCUGGGAUACCAUUUGGAAACAGAUGCUAAUACCGGAUAAAAGCUACUUUAGCAUGAAAGAAGUUUAAAAGGCGGCGUAAGCUGUCGCUAAAGGAUGGACCUGCGAUGCAUUAGCUAGUUGGUAAGGUAAUGGCUUACCAAGGCGAUGAUGCAUAGCCGAGUUGAGAGACUGAUCGGCCACAUUUGGGACUGAGACACGGCCCAAACUCCUACGGGAGGCAGCAGAU